UAAUAACGCCUUGUGACAUAUUUGCAGUUUACUAAAGAUUUGGAAUCUCAAUGAUUUGAAUGGAGUGAUUGGAGUGUUCAACUGUCAAGGGGCUAGAUGGUGUAGAAUUGGAAAGAGAAACCUCAUUCACGACGAACGACCGGAUACAAUAACUGGAACCGUUCGGGCUAAUGAUGUGGACUACUUACCAAGAAUUGCUCCUGAUGGAUGGAGAGGCGAUGCUGUUGUCUAUUCUCAUAUUCAUGGAAAUCUAGUCUACCUUCCAAGCAAUGCUGCUCUGCCAAUUACACUGAUGGCACGGGAGUACGAGGUUUUCACGGUUGUUCCUGUCAAGGAAACAUCAAAUGGUUCUCGAUUCGCUCCUAUAGGCCUCAUCAGGAUGUUCAAUUCAGGUGGAGCGGUCAAAGAAGUAGGUUAUGAAAAGGUUGAUGCGGGGAACAUACGCAUCAAAACACGGGGAUGUGGUACUUUUGGAGCCUAUUCAUCAGUCAGACCCAAAAGAAUCACAGUUGACACAGAGGAAGUCCAGUUUCAUUUUGAAGAAGCCUCUGGAUUGGUAACCCUCGAUCUCUCAGUCCCAGAGAGAGAGUUGUACCUCUGGACCAUCAACAUUGAAGUCUAAACAAUUAGUUACAGCAUUGAAGGCCGGGCCCCAUUAAUUUAGAACUCUGUAAACCUCCUUUAACACAACUACUAUUUCGUUGCAACGGUAAAAGAUGGCAUGCCCAAAAAUCAGCGGAUGGUUUUGGAUUGGAUAGGCUCUAUAUGUUUCGCAAACCCAUCAUCUCGAAGAACCUUUUGCUUCAUACUCCUAGAUUUUUUACCAUUUCAUCUUAUGAACGAGACAAAGAUAUUCCAUAACGAAAAUAAUGUUGGAAUGUAUGCCCUAAAACAAUGUAUUUGUUUUUAUAUUAUACAUUCCUUAUUAUAUGUUUUGUAUUUUAA
Coffea arabica (coffee) is the source of this 945-nucleotide non-coding RNA. NCBI's taxonomy places the organism in Eukaryota, Viridiplantae, Streptophyta, Magnoliopsida, Gentianales, Rubiaceae. The record is from RefSeq and is a predicted model, not a curated record.